This 451-nucleotide ribosomal RNA is filed under the name uncultured bacterium. Its description in RNAcentral is "bacterial SSU rRNA". It matches the Rfam family "Bacterial small subunit ribosomal RNA", at positions 340 to 786 of the family's 1533-position model. The record is from RNAcentral.
UACGGAAGGCAGCAGUGGGGAAUAUUGCACAAUGGGCGCAAGCCUGAUGCAGCCAUGCCGCGUGUAUGAAGAAGGCCUUCGGGUUGUAAAGUACUUUCAGUCGUGAGGAAGGUGUUAAGGUUAAUAACCUUAGCAAUUGACGUUAGCGACAGAAGAAGCACCGGCUAACUCCGUGCCAGCAGCCGCGGUAAUACGGAGGGUGCGAGCGUUAAUCGGAAUUACUGGGCGUAAAGGGCACGCAGGCGGUUAAUUAAGUUGGAUGUGAAUCCCCGGGCUUAACCUGGGAAUGGCAUUCAAGACUGGUUAGCUAGAGUCUUGUAGAGGGGGUAGAAUUCCGAUGUGUAGCGGUGAAAUGCGUAGAGAUGUGGAGGAAUACCGGUGCGAAGGCGGCCCCUGGCAAAGACUGACGCUCAUGUGCGAAAGCGUGGGGAGCAAACGAGGAUUAGAUACC